This is a long non-coding RNA of Nylanderia fulva, 1233 nucleotides long. RefSeq lists it as uncharacterized. The record is from RefSeq and is a predicted model, not a curated record. NCBI's taxonomy places the organism in Eukaryota, Metazoa, Arthropoda, Insecta, Hymenoptera, Formicidae.
GAUCAACGGUCGAGCCGGGUUUCGCUCCGCGAAAAAACGCGAGUUUGAGUAUUAAUUAGCUUUGUUAGGCCGUUAAUUACUGCAUAAAUUUGUUCGCGUCGCGUCUCCCGACAUCGUGAUCGUAAUCGCGAGCGUGAGAUCGACCUCGCCGGCCGGGAAUCGCGAAUCCGCGGAAUCUCACUUUCGUUCCUCCGAAUGACCUUCGCGUGACGUCACAGUUCCCGACAGCCCCCGACUCGGGGUCCCGUCGAGUCGCCUGAAGUUCGCGCAGGCGAAGUUGAGAACGGCGGAUCGCGACAAGUGCCGGGCGCUUUCGACGCGAGAAUUUCCCGGGAUUUUCCGCGUUAUCGCUCGUAAUCCGUAAAGUUUCCGCUCGUACUUCCGCAUCGCCGUGUCGGAGUAUCGUUCCGCGACGAACUACGCACGUAAUUCUCGCGAAAAUCGCGAAGGUCAAAUACGAGUAGGACGACUCGGUCGUGCCGCCAUGUUUACAUGUUCCUCUUUAAGAAUCUUUCGUGAAUCGUCGAGUCGAAGAUAUUUAACAAGGAGUGAAGCACGUAUAUAUUUCGUAUAUUAUUGGAAUACGCGAGUGUACACGGUGUUUCGAAAAUGCUCCUUGUUUUGUGAAAUGCAGUGGAUAUAUAUUUUAAGUGCAGUGCCCCAUUCUGGAAUAUCGCCGCAUCAUCGUCGUUCGAUCGGGCCCUUCGAUAAGGGAUCUUGAGAAAAGCGGCGACGCGAAAACGGAGCAUCGGGUUUAUUCGUGCGCGAAUAAAAGCUCCCGCGAAUCUCGCGUUUUCAUAACGCGUCGAAAAUGUGACAAUUAAAAUCCGGGCGUCGCCGCACGUCGCGAACGAAAAAAAGUUUCGCGAGUGUAAGUGUUUCGAAGUGCAUCUACGACGAGGAGGAGGAAUCCUGGGGCUCAGGAUGGCAUCGGGCAACGACGAAGCAGCUAUUACGUUCACAACUCCGCUGCUGUACAUCGUAUCGGUAGUAUUGCGGUACACAAUGCGAUUCACGCGUCGUGUCGGGAGUGCCGUGUAAAAUUUUACAUAUCGGGAGUGCCGUGUAAAGUGUCGGACGAUCGUAAUUAUUCGUAUUUUCGCGAGUGUAAUUGCUACGAAGGACCACGAGAGGAGGAGGAGGCCGGGGAAGGCAUCAGGUGACAGCGGGGCAACUAUAAGAUCAACGUGCUGCGAACUACAACUCCGCUAUUGCUGCAUCGGUGCUGCAUCG